This 71-nucleotide transfer RNA is filed under the name Methylobacterium variabile. RNAcentral describes it as "tRNA-Gly". It matches the Rfam family "tRNA". Rfam says of the family: Transfer RNA (tRNA) molecules are approximately 80 nucleotides in length. Their secondary structure includes four short double-helical elements and three loops (D, anti-codon, and T loops). Further hydrogen bonds mediate the characteristic L-shaped molecular structure. tRNAs have two regions of fundamental functional importance: the anti-codon, which is responsible for specific mRNA codon recognition, and the 3' end, to which the tRNAs corresponding amino acid is attached (by aminoacyl-tRNA synthetases). tRNAs cope with the degeneracy of the genetic code in two manners: having more than one tRNA (with a specific anti-codon) for a particular amino acid; and 'wobble' base-pairing, i.e. permitting non-standard base-pairing at the 3rd anti-codon position. Lineage: Bacteria; Pseudomonadati; Pseudomonadota; Alphaproteobacteria; Hyphomicrobiales; Methylobacteriaceae. The record is from RNAcentral.
CCGCGCGGGCCGGAGAGGGACGGUUAUCCUUGCCAAGGAGGUGGUCGCGGGUUCGAAUCCCGCCGGGCCGG